UAAUUUCGCUAGGGGUGCCCUCGGGCUGAGAAGGAAAUAUCCUAACCCUUGAACCUGAUGUAGUUAGUACUACCGUAGGAAAGCAAUUUAUAAGACUU
This 98-nucleotide non-coding RNA is filed under the name Andreesenella formicacetica. Its description in RNAcentral is "Clostridium formicaceticum TPP sequence". It matches the Rfam family "TPP riboswitch aptamer (THI element)". Rfam says of the family: Vitamin B(1) in its active form thiamin pyrophosphate (TPP) is an essential coenzyme that is synthesised by coupling of pyrimidine and thiazole moieties in bacteria. The previously detected thiamin-regulatory element, thi box was extended, resulting in a new, highly conserved RNA secondary structure, the THI element, which is widely distributed in eubacteria and also occurs in some archaea. The record is from RNAcentral. Lineage: Bacteria; Bacillati; Bacillota; Clostridia; Peptostreptococcales; Natronincolaceae.